GACGAACGCUGGCGGCGCGUCUUAAACAUGCAAGUCGAACGGGAUCCCUGAUGCUUGCAUUAGGGUGAGAGUGGCGAACGGGUGAGUAACACGUGGAUAAUUUACCCUCAGGUUGGGGAUAACUCCGGGAAACUGGGGCUAAUACCGAAUAAGAUGGUAGGAACAUAGGUUCCAGCCAUUAAAGAUGGGGACCGCAAGGCCUAUCGCCAGAGGAAAAGUCCGCGGCCCAUUAGCUUGUUGGUAGGGUAAUGGCCUACCAAGGCUACGAUGGGUAGCCGGCCUGAGAGGGUGAACGGCCACAUUGGGACUGAGACACGGCCCAGACUCCUACGGGAGGCAGCAGUUAAGAAUCUUGCGCAAUGGGCGCAAGCCUGACGCAGCGACGCCGCGUGAAGGAUGAAGGCCUUCGGGUCGUAAACUUCGAUAAGCAGGGAAGAAUAAGUUAUGGCUAAUAUCCAUAGCGAUGACGGUACCUGCCUAAAGCCCCGGCUAACUACGUGCCAGCAGCCGCGGUAAUACGUAUGGGGCGAGCGUUGUUCGGAUUUAUUGGGCGUAAAGGGCGUGUAGGCGGCUGGAUAAGUCAGAUGUGAAAUCCCUGGGCUUAACCCA
Molecule: ribosomal RNA, 609 nt
Filed under: bacterium enrichment culture clone AD_Bacteria_72
Lineage: Bacteria
Description: bacterial SSU rRNA
Rfam family: Bacterial small subunit ribosomal RNA
Source: RNAcentral